AACGAACGCUGGCGGCAUGCCUAACACAUGCAAGUCGAACGAGACCUUCGGGUCUAGUGGCGCACGGGUGCGUAACGCGUGGGAACCUGCCCUUAGGUUCGGAAUAACUCCCCGAAAGGGGUGCUAAUACCGGAUAAUGUCUUCGGACCAAAGAUUUAUCGCCUUUGGAUGGGCCCGCGUUGGAUUAGCUAGUUGGUAGGGUAAAAGCCUACCAAGGCGACGAUCCAUAGCUGGUCUGAGAGGAUGAUCAGCCACACUGGGACUGAGACACGGCCCAGACUCCUACGGGAGGCAGCAGGGGGGAAUAUGGGACAAUGGGCGAAAGACUGAUCCAGCAAUGCCGCGUGAGUGAUGAAGGCCUUAGGGUUGUAAAGCUCUUUUACCCGGGAUGAUAAUGACAGUACCGGGAGAAUAAGCUCCGGCUAACUCCGU
RNAcentral lists this ribosomal RNA (432 nucleotides) under uncultured bacterium. RNAcentral's name for it is "partial 16S ribosomal RNA". It matches the Rfam family "Bacterial small subunit ribosomal RNA", at positions 29 to 506 of the family's 1533-position model. The record is from RNAcentral.